RNAcentral lists this ribosomal RNA (253 nucleotides) under uncultured bacterium. Its description in RNAcentral is "partial 16S ribosomal RNA". It matches the Rfam family "Bacterial small subunit ribosomal RNA", at positions 524 to 776 of the family's 1533-position model. The record is from RNAcentral.
UACGUAGGUGGCAAGCGUUGUCCGGAAUUAUUGGGCGUAAAGCGCGCGCAGGCGGUCCUUUAAGUCUGAUGUGAAAUCCCGUGGCUUAACCACGGGCGGUCAUUGGAAACUGGGGGACUUGAGUGCAGAAGAGAAGAGCGGAAUUCCACGUGUAGCGGUGAAAUGCGUAGAGAUGUGGAGGAACACCAGUGGCGAAGGCGGCUCUUUGGUCUGUAACUGACGCUGAGGCGCGAAAGCGCGGGGAGCGAACAGG